AGUCUGGCUAAUUCAAGAGGGGGUUUCACAAUGAUUGGUAUCCCUCUUUGAGAAGGAAUAUAAAAAAGAAGCCAUGAAAAUGUUUCUGCUGGCCCCAGGGUGGGCAUGCUAUGGAGUCUGAAAAAGAAUGAAUCUAAGCUAAUGCCUAAUUAGAAAAUUAUGUAUACAAGUUGAAGAAAACGACAACUGUGCAUCAGAAAGAAAAGACCACAGAGAAGUGAUAUGAUCCUUCAUCAAAUGCUUGUUCACCUCACUAGUGCAUUCAACUGAGAUCUGUACUCCUUCCAAGGUUAUUAAUUCCUCUUUUAGAAUACCGAUUAUUGAUUUGGUUUCUGCAGUGAUAUAAACCUAUCCAUAUUAUUU
This 363-nucleotide long non-coding RNA is filed under the name Mus caroli (Ryukyu mouse). RNAcentral's name for it is "predicted gene 14093 (MGP_CAROLIEiJ_G0034492.1)". Lineage: Eukaryota; Metazoa; Chordata; Mammalia; Rodentia; Muridae. The record is from RNAcentral.